This 872-nucleotide ribosomal RNA is filed under the name uncultured Actinomyces sp. Its description in RNAcentral is "bacterial SSU rRNA". It matches the Rfam family "Bacterial small subunit ribosomal RNA", at positions 28 to 858 of the family's 1533-position model. The record is from RNAcentral. Lineage: Bacteria; Bacillati; Actinomycetota; Actinomycetes; Actinomycetales; Actinomycetaceae.
GACGAACGCUGGCGGCGUGCUUAACACAUGCAAGUCGAACGCUGAAGCUCAGCUUGCUGGGUGGAUGAGUGGCGAACGGGUGAGUAACACGUGAGUAACCUGCCCCCUUCUUUGGGAUAACGCCCGGAAACGGGUGCUAAUACUGGAUAUUCACUGAUCUUCGCAUGGGGGUUGGUGGAAAGGUUUGUUCUGGUGGGGGAUGGGCUCGCGGCCUAUCAGCUUGUUGGUGGGGUGAUGGCCUACCAAGGCUUUGACGGGUAGCCGGCCUGAGAGGGUGACCGGUCACAUUGGGACUGAGAUACGGCCCAGACUCCUACGGGAGGCAGCAGUGGGGAAUAUUGCACAAUGGGCGCAAGCCUGAUGCAGCGACGCCGCGUGAGGGAUGGAGGCCUUCGGGUUGUAAACCUCUUUCGCUCAUGGUCAAGCCGCAACAGUGGUUGUGGUGAGGGUAGUGGGUAAAGAAGCGCCGGCUAACUACGUGCCAGCAGCCGCGGUAAUACGUAGGGCGCGAGCGUUGUCCGGAAUUAUUGGGCGUAAAGGGCUUGUAGGCGGUUGGUCGCGUCUGCCGUGAAAUCCUCUGGCUUAACUGGGGGGCGUGCGGCGGGUACGGGCUGACUUGAGUGCGGUAGGGGAGACUGGAACUCCUGGUGUAGCGGUGGAAUGCGCAGAUAUCACGAAGAAACACCGGUGGGCGAAGGCGGGUCUCUGGGCCGUGCUGACGCUGAGGAGCGAAAACCUGGGGAGCGAACAAGAAUAGAUACGCUUGUAGUUGGAGGGGAGAAUUCCAGAGUGGGAGAUGCGGGUGUCGGUCCCCCCCACGGCGAGGGGGGGGCCGGGAGCCGGCUUAUCCCCCCUUUUCCUUUAUUUAUUGC